CGAGUGGCGAACGGGUGAGUAACGCGUGAGGAACCUGCCUCAAAGAGGGGGACGACAGUUGGAAACGACUGCUAAUACCGCAUAAGCCCACGGGUCGGCAUCGACCAGAGGGAAAAGGAGCAAUCCGCUUUGAGAUGGCCUCGCGUCCGAUUAGCUAGUUGGUGAGGUAAUGGCCCACCAAGGCGACGAUCGGUAGCCGGACUGAGAGGUUGAACGGCCACAUUGGGACUGAGACACGGCCCUGACUCCUACGGGAGGCAGCAUG
RNAcentral lists this ribosomal RNA (265 nucleotides) under uncultured bacterium. Its description in RNAcentral is "partial 16S ribosomal RNA". It matches the Rfam family "Bacterial small subunit ribosomal RNA", at positions 92 to 353 of the family's 1533-position model. The record is from RNAcentral.